GUGCUCACUUGGCAGCACAUAGACUAAAAUUGGAAUGAUACAGAGGAGAUUAGCAUGGCCGUGUGCAAGGCUGGCCCGCAAAUUCAUGAAGUGUUCCAUAAGUUU
Molecule: small nuclear RNA, 105 nt
Filed under: Salvator merianae (Argentine black and white tegu)
Lineage: Eukaryota; Metazoa; Chordata; Lepidosauria; Squamata; Teiidae
Source: RNAcentral